CAGAGGGAGAUUCCCUCUCAAAAAAAAAAAAACCAAAAAAAAAAAACUCUUAAUGGCUGAAGUCCAAAUUCCUUAGCAUGGCAUAAAAAUGUAAUCCUGUCGUCCCUCAAAAUAGUGUCCAAACUUCUUAGCAUGCUAUGUAAAUUUAAUCAUAUAACUUCUUUUUAUAAAAACAUGCUCUGCUUAUAAAUGACCCGUCUCCUCAGCAUGGAGCCCCGCCUGGGUGCCCUUGUGCCCAGGGGAUGCCUCUCCUCAGAAGUGGUCUGAUGCUUAUUCAUUAUCUGGUUCAGCAAAUCCAGACACCUUAACUUAAAAUAUGUUUACAAUCCAAUUUCUCUGGAGACAAAACUCUCAUCAAUUUACUCCUUAAAACUCUUUACUGGCUGACAUCCGAACGCCUCUGCAUAAGAUUUCAACAAUGAGCUCAAUGAGCUCAUCCCCCACCCCUUCCAAACACAGCACUUGAAUGCCUUCAACUCUCACGUAAAAUCACAUCUCCUUAGCAUGUGAGCAAAAUUUGAUCAUAUCAUCUUUAUCAUAGAGAUCCUGUCUUUUAGCUUUGCCAAAAUGCACUUGUUUGAGCAUGUAACUUCUCAACUUAAAACUUCUCGAAGUUUCUUCAUUGCCUGUAACAUAAAGUCCCAACUACUUGACACAAAAUGCAACAUUUUACCAUGUAAUUUCUCUCACGAUGAUCUAUUAAAAAACCCCAAAUCGCAUCCUGUUCUUGCUUUAAGCCCUUUAUUGGCUUGAAUCCAAAGUUAUUAACAUGAUAUAAAAAUUUGAUCAUGUCAUCCCUUAAAGGAAAAUUCACACUUCCUAGGACAAUAUAUAAAAUUUGACCUUAUAACUCCUCUUUAAAAUCUUACAGUGUCUCUUAAUUGUAAAUGGAAGAAAAGUCAAAAUUCUUAGCAUAAAAUGUGAAUUUUAUUUUGUAAUUCACUGCAUACUAUUUAUCAUACGCAAAAAACCCACCAGGCCACUGUUAGAAAGUUUUAUUGGCUAAAUCAAAUUCCUAGGUGUAUGCAAAAGUCUAAUCAUGUUGGAGCCUCAAAAUAAAUUCCAAAUUUCUUUUCAUAUUCGCAAUAUCGAUCAUUUAACUCCUCUGAUAAAAUUCUUUCAACUUUGGUGUCAGCAUUAAUCACACCUCCUAGGCAAGCUCUGCAGGUUGAAAUUGGCACUCCCCCAAGAUAGAAAGUCAAAAUGUUUGCGCAUGAUUGUUAAAUUGGUGGCCAUUACUUUUCUUUUACAAUUUCCAGUGUUUCCUUGUUGCUUGUAAUGUGAAUCCCAAAGCUGUUACCCAUAAAAUAUAUUUUAUCAUGUUUCUCUGCAUACUUAUCUCCCACAAGCAAGAAUCUCAUCAUCACAUUUCUUAAAACCCUUUGGCAAAAAUCUAGACUCCUUAGCAUGAUAUAAAACUUUGAUCCUGCCAUCCCUCAAAACAAAGUCCAGAUUUCUUCCCAGGAAACUCAAAUUAUGAAGCUCUUGCUUAAAAUCUCAACGUGUUUUCAUCACUACAAAAAGCCUCACCAUCUUAGCAAGGCACCCACUUUUAAUCAUGGCACUCCCAGCUUCAAACCUGUCAAAUUUCAUGUCCUCAACAUAAAAUCUAAAUGCCUGAGCAUGAAAUGAAAAUUGGACCAAUUAUUUCUUACAUUGAAAAUCUUUAGAUUGCUCUUCUCUACUUAAACUAUAAACCUGAAGUUCUUUUCGCAUGAAACCAGAGCUUUUCACCAUCUACAGUUUCCAGCUUCCAUUUCCUGUUCCUCGUGCUUCUCUCUGAAAAGACUGAGUUUCCCAUUCUCCAGCCUCCAAAUGCAUUUCGAUUUUAUUGUCCCCAAAUGUUUCUUUUUUUUUUUUUUUUUUUUUUUGUUUCACCAAGUCCCUCUGCCCAUAGUUCAUUAAUUCAUAUAGCAGCAUGUCCUGAUUCUUUUUCUGGGCCAGGCACGGUGCUCGAUCCCCGAUGGAGGGAAAUGGAGACAGACCCACCUUGCAGGUCAUCACCAGGAAGGAGAUGAGACUCACGUCCUGGAGACGAAUACCCCACUGGAGGUGUCGUGAAGGGGAGAUGGCUGCUUUCUCCUGGGAAGGGAGCAGAUGCCUGGCCCAGGACCAAAUCAAAAGCUGAGGCUCACUGCCCCCAGUGGGCAGUGGGACCAGGGGUUUCUGAGGCCAGGGCAUGGCCCAGCCCUGCUGCUCCCAAGAUGGCACCUGGCUUGGAGGGGUGAGGGGCCCUGUUAGUCUGACUUGAAGAAGACCAGCCUUCCACACUCGCUUGGUGCCCUGACAGGAAUCAAGCUGUCAGGGGGCGCAGUGAGGCCCCAGCUCCUUACCAGCAAGCCUGCUCAGCUGCGAACGCGAGCCGCCGGGCUGCAGCUCUCUAGAGGUCCGUGUCCCCACCGCCUGGCCCCAUCUCAUGUCACAUUCCCCCGAGGUCUCAUUCCACUCGGCUAAUCUCCAAGAACACCGGCCGGGGCAUUGGCUUUCGGGUCCUCUUAAAGACCAAAAAGUAAAGCGCUCCCCCGUGGGUGCUGGACAGCUUGGGAAGGAUUUGGGGCUGUGGCUGGUGAAAUCACAGCCCUGGGCACACACCUGCCGGCCCCAUGUCACUGACAGGCUGCUCGGAGGCUUGGGGCUCCAGUGAGAGCAUAUAAAUAUUGUUUUAAAAAUAUAUUUGCGACAAAAUAAAUCCCCCGUGUCUGCAGAACUUGCUCUGGGCAUGUACCCACUCCCAAUCCAUCAAGAAACAUGCCCUUUGCUUUGUAUUUGUAAAAACAGAAACAAAAACAAAAACAACCCACAAGCGAACAAACAAAUUAAAUCCCCCCCACACAAAAUGUUUAUUCUAAUUAUGCAAGAAAUGGAUUGAUAAUUAAUACACGCAUUAGUAAAAAUCAAACAUGGCAGAUAAAGCCAUUUUUAAUGCCUCCCUCAAUCCCUCCCAACCACCCCCCAGCAAAUUAACUGCUCUUCUCAGUUUCGGGCGUCUGGUUCCAGAUAUUUUUUUCUGUGCAUUUGCAUAUGUAGAUAAAUAUACCUCUAAAAUCUACGACUUUGUUUAUUUCUUACAUAAACUAUAUCAUAGUGUACAUUUCCUUUCGCAGCAGCUUGUGUUUCUUCCUUCAAGAGUCUGCUUAGAGAUAAUAAAGAUCAACACUAUUCCUUAUAAUGACACCUCAGUAUCCUGCGAGCUGUACACGCCAGAGUUUAUUUAAUCACCUUGCUGCUGGCAUGAAAGCCUCGGGUCCUUUACCCUGGUGGGGGUGAAUUGUGGCAGCAGGUGUAAGUAAUUGCUGAGAUUUGGGUUUGGGGAGUGGGCUCAUGAGUGUUUAUGACAUUAUUAUAAAUGAAUAUAUGAGUGCAUAAAUUAGCAAAAUAAAAGGGGGCUUUUCUGGAUCAAUGAUGAGACAGUGUUUAUGAACAAAAGAUCAUGAUUAAUCCAGUUCUGCACAAAAUACUGAGGUCCAUUAGACCUUGGCUGUUUCAUUCCUUUUAAGAGCUAUUUAAUAUUCUACGGUAUGUAUGCACCAUUGUUGAUUACACUCUUUUCUACUGUUGAAAAUCCCAGCUGAAGGUGCUCUGGGGGAGGAGAAGCUUUGGUCACAGUCCUAGCCAUCAGGGUGGGUCACAGAUUCAUAGGUGUUCAUUAAAUUAUUUUUUUAAAAAAGAAUACAUAAAAAUGGUGCUUAAUGCAGAUCAGCGAGGAAGCGUGUCACAAAUCCAGGUUUUAAUUAAUACGAUUCUGCUCAACUAAUGCCCGAUAAAAAAGAUCUAAGCUGUUUCCGUUUUUUGUUGCUGUUACCAAUGACACUGCAGUGAGCAUUCUUGCAGCUAAAUCUGUAAACACAUCCUCGACUGUUCCUUUUCCCCAGCUUCUUAGAGAUGGGGUGGUGGGUUAAAUUGUUUGCAAAAGUUUAUUUUCAUUGAGUGAUCUUUCUAAAAUGGCAUUUUGACCUUAUUACUGUCUUGCUUUAAAGCCUCCAUCUGACUUCCUGGAGCUUCCGGGACGGGGUCCAAAAAAUAAGGCCUUACCCUGGCAUGGAAGACCCUUUAGGGUCUGUCGUGGAACUUGCCAGCCUCAGCCCCUCCCCACUGGUGUUUCCCUGCUAGGCGCACCUCACCCCCACGGGGCUACCUGUUCCUCUCAGCGGGCUCCCUGCUUCUUACGCUUCGCGUGGCCAUGCCUUUUCAGCCAGCUUCUCCCCCUCCUUAAAGAGCAGGCUUGAAAUAUCGCUGUUGGGGAGCCCAAAGUUAGAUGUGCCCCAAAAAACACUGUGUUCAGAAGCCCCCCGAAGCCUUGACCCUGGAAGUGGGAUGCCUCACUGACAAUUUUUUCCCAGUUAAGGGAAAUGUUUUGCAUUUUUCUAGAAUUGAUGAAACUGGCCAACUGUUAAUCACCCUCCUUCCUUUGUCCCUUUCUAGGAGCCCUGGGCUCCCCCAGUGUUGCCUGGAUCUGACUUUGCCUCAGUGAAAACCGCCUCGAGUUCUUUCUUGCACCGAUGGGCAGAUAGUGUCAGAGGAUCGUGUCAUCUGUCCUGUGGCGCUGGUUGGCUUGGUCAAGUCAGUGUUCAAACUAUUUCCUGCUCUUUCAAGGGGAUCUGGGGCCCUAGAAGAUUAGAGGACUUUGAGAGGUUAGUGACUUGCCCAAGGUCGGCUAGGAAGCAAGACCCAGGAUUCCAACUCAGGUCUGUGUGAUUCCUCUGCAAAAUUGAGAGGUGGAAGGAUGGAUGUCAGGUCUGAUGGAUGGAUGGAUGCCUACAUCAAGAUGCAUGCAUAGAUGGAGAGAUGGCUGGCUACCUGAUGAAUGCUGGACUGUUGUGAGAAUCAAACGAGAUAAUGUAUGCUGAGGCAUGCUGUGAACACUGCGUGCUGGGUACAGGAGAAUGGAGGCUCCAGAGUGAAAUUAAUGACACUUUGUCGAUGAAGAUCUUGAUUGUGACCUCUGGGGAAAAUGAGCCAUGAACCAACCAAUGUGAGUAAUGUUUAGUGUUGUUGUUUUGAAGUUGGGUCGUUGGUUGAUGGUUGUUUAUUACAUUAUUAAACAUGAAUCAAUACAUAAAUAAGGUCAAAGAUGACGGGCAUGAUGAGAAUGUCAUGAACCAAGGGUGAUUAAUUUCAUACAGCAUAACUGUCACCAAAUUAAAAAACAGUAUUACUGGGCUGUUCUCUGUAGCAAAUGAGGAAAGAAAAAAAGGAACACACACACACACAUACGUAUCCUACAUAUAUAUAACAUGUAUCAUGUGUUAUGUUUAUACAUGUAUCCUAUAUAUAUAUCACACACGUAAUAUGUGUUAUGUUUAUCUUUCAUAUUUUCAUGCUGGGGUGGGUUUAUAUAUGUUUAUGGGGUAAUUAAACAUAAAUGGAUACAUGUAUAAACAAGAUCAAAGAGAGUCAAGCAUGGACUAAUGAAGACAAUGUAUCAUGAUCUAAGAUUUACGAUUGCACAGUUCUGCAAAUUGGAGAGACAUUAAAACACAAAUAUUUAUGCUGUUUCAUUCAUUUCAGUAGCAUUCCACCAUUAAUUUAUGCACUACACUUUUGCAUGAACACUUUCCUAUUGAAGAAGUUUGGGAUGUUAAGUCGGUGGCAGAGAGUCACAUAGGGAAGUAAGGUAUUGGUCGUUUUCUGUUUGUUGAAUAGGAUUCAUGAUUGUUCUUUCAUGAUUUUUGUUUAAAGCGAUAAAUAAAACUUAAAAGGGCCAAGCAUAGAUAAUGAGGAUAAUAUUUCAUGUAAAGUGAGGCUUAUUAAUUAAAUUAUACACAAGUAAAGGCCAUUAAAAAUGAUACAGGUGUUUAUUUUUCUAAUAGUUGCUGUUUGUUGCACAGAAUGGACAAAUCAUAGCUUAUGUAGUCAUGCAACAUUUAUGAGAAUUUUGACUCUUACUUGGGUAGAUAAGGUACUUAAAGAAAAUGUAAUUAAUAGUUGAUGUUGUUAAAUCUUUGCUGGAGAGUUGUUUAAGGGUGUUCAUAAAUAAGUGAAUGAAUGAACAAACACAUGAAUAAAACAAGAGAGGGCAAACAUGGGACAAAGGUGAUCAUAUCUCAUUGUUGUAAAUUCUUUUUAUUGUAUGUAGCUUCAGUAUCCAUUUUGAACCUAAGUUUAACUUUCUCAUUCCAGAAGCAGGCUUAGUCACCCUUGACACAGUUUGCAGUUAUCCACCUCCUCCCAGUUCUUAAUAUGAUAGAUCCAGAUAACUGCCUUGUACAGCCACCUCCAGGAUACUGCCUCCCUAAGGAUCAGCUAGAUACACUGACCCCACAGCCUAUGUGGACCACACAGAUAUACUGGCUUGCUCUAAACGCGCCAGUGAGAACUCUCUGCAGGAAACCUGCUUGGGAAAUGCCGUAGUCUGCAAUACAGGCUUUCCCCUUCCCGCUGGCCCUGUGAGGCAUGCAGGAUCUGAUAAGUCUACUUUUCUUCCACGUAACAACCACAGGAUAUAUGACAUUCAUUUUCUAAGAAACAAAAUCUUGGCAGUUAGAUCCGUGGGGUAAAGAAUAUAGAUACUAAUGUAAGUUAACACCUCAAGUUCAUGUCCUUGGUUUGGAUGCUUUGUUCGGGAGUGUUUAGUGGUAUUUCAAAGGAAUCAAUAUCUAUAACAGAAAUUAAAAUAACCAGGAAUGGACCAGUGAUGGAAAUGUGUUCUGAAAAUAUGUUUAAUAUAAUUUGGCACAACUGAAGUGAUAAAAAUAUAGUAGCUAGACCAUUUAUAUUCACAAUUAUUUAACAUUGUAUCUUAUUUUCUACCUCAAAUUAUUUAAUCUUUUCCAUAUUGGUAUGGUCCUGGCCGAUAACUCUUUGUGUGGCAGCCUGAGAGAAUAUGGAAGACAUUGUCAGUGUUGGAAGAUGGUGGUUUUAUCACUUUUCAUUGCACUAUCUUUAAAACAUGGGCAAAUUGGCUAAAAGAAGACUACAGAAGAAAUAAUGGUGAUUGUGAAUUUGGUAUGAAGCAUGGAUGUUAAUUAAUCACACAUGUUCUCUGAGGUCCAUUGUAAAAGGAGACCUAGUCUUUAGGGAGAGAGCCACUAAUGGGGAUAUCUUAUUCCUAUAAUUUUGUGGUUAUAUUAUUAUUCAUGAACCAAUGAAUAAUAAAUGAAUGAUCUAAAGGAAGAAAAACGUGCUUGGACCAAUGAUGAGUACCAUGGGGUAUCUGAAACAGGAUUUUUGAUUAAACCCAUAUGCAAUUCUGAGGUCCAUUACAAAGAGACACGUAUUAUUCCUUUUUGGGAAGUGAGCCUAUGGUACCUUUUCCUUGGACUUUGUGGUUCUUGGGGAUGGAUUGCAUUUUUGUUAUAAAAUCAGCCCAUGAAUUAAAAAUUUAUCAAUGAGUAAAACAAAAAGCAUAAGUCAUGUACUUAUUAUCAGUGAAUGUAAUGAAACAUGAAUUAUUAUUAAAACUUAUCUGAGACUCCCAAUAAAUUAAUACCCAAGGCUUCUACCAUUCUGGUAAGGAGCAUAUGGUCAUUUGUAUCCAAGAGUCAAAGUUUUUGUUCUGUGUUGGUGGUGGGUUGCUGACUAUUUCAUUAAGAAAAUUAAGCAUCUUAAGUGGUUAAAUAACCACUUAAUUGAGACCAAGCAGAGACCAAUGAUGAGUGUAUUAACCUAUUUUUAAUGGAUUUUUAUUAAACAAAUAAAAAAGAAACAUAGUCUAUUCUUUCUGAGGGCAAUGACUCUAGACAGAUGUAAAUAUUCUUCAGUGUUCUUGUCCAGUGCUGUGAGAGCACAGAUACUGAUGUCUUUUGUAUAUGAGAAGGAAGGUGCACUUUUAUGUCUCAGUUUAUAUUUUAGAGUCAGCAAACCAUGGACCAAUUAGGAACAAAUGUUAUGAGAAUGCUGAUUCUUGUUUUUUUUUCAUGAUAGACAUUCUAAGAAAAACUCUAGGCUCUUUCAUUGUUUUUGGGAUACAUACAUGGUCCUUUCCAAGUAGUUUCUUAGAAAAAUGUUUUUAAAAAGAGGCUUUUAAAAAGAGCCUUUUAAAAUGUUUUUAAAACAAGACUUUAUUUUUCUCUAUAGAAUGAAAACCAUGUAGCUGGUUUUAUUAUUCUCUAAUCACGAAGACCAUUAUUGUUAUUUGUGGACUAACAAGCAGAAAGACUGAUAAUGGACAUAGGCCAGCUGAUUUAAUAAUUUAAGAAAGAACUGUUAUCCUGAGUAAGGAGCAUAGAGACAAAUAUAAAAUGAACGCACUGUACCUGAUUUAAUUAUAGUCUUCUGGUGAAGAUCUUGCUGUUAUCUCUGUGAAUCAGGAGAGAAGAGAUCGAUAAAGAAUAGACGAGAUUGGAUUUGGUCAUUUCCCCAAGGUGAAGAGCACGGCGAUUUCUUCUGUGAAUGAAGACCAUGGUUGAUUUAAUCAGUCUCUGCUGAUGAAGAUCUUGGCUGUUACCUUUGUGUAAUGGAUGCGCAAUGAUUCAAUUAUUCUCCAGCAGGGAAGAUCAUGGUUGUUGUCUGUUUGAGUAAUGAGUGUAGAAACCUACAAUGGAGGCGUGAUGGCUGAUCCAAUCAUAUUCCACUGAUGAAGGUUUUGAUGGCUACCUAUAAUGAACAGCCCUAUCUGAUUUGAGCACUGUGCAAUGACCGUGAACUGUACGGUUACCUCCGUGUGUCACAGGAAGACUCUUAAUGAACACCCUCGAGUUGACUUAAGCACUCUUCCAUGGUCACGAGGUUUCUGGUUGCCUCUGUGUGUUAGAAGCUUGGAGACCAAUGCCUUCUGCUGUGAUUGCGUUCUCCAUAGUUGCCUCUGGGUAGGAGCCUGGACACUAAUGGAAAAUGGAUGCACUUGAGCCGACCUAAGCAUUCAUGGUCAUGAGAUUUGUGGUUGCCACUGUUGGUUAGGAGCAUAGAGAUCAGUGUGAGUAAUAAAACUCAUGUCUUUCUCUAAGAGACUUUUUAAAGGGUAUUCAUAAUAUCAUGAAAGUGUGAAAAAUCAUCCAAAAGGCCAACCUCAGCCAAUGAUAAAUAUGAGAUUGGUUGAAACAGUAUAUUUACUAGCUCAUUUAUGACACACUGAGGAUAAUUCAUGAAAGAUAUAUCAAACUGACAGAUUAUAUAGAAAGUUCUAGAAUAUUCUAUGCUCUUACUCUUUGGGUAUUAUAUUUACAUGGGUUAUAAUAUUAAUAUUUAUGAAUUAAUGCAUAAAUACAUGUAAAUGAGAAUUAAGCUAAAGAGUCCUAAGCCUGAGCCAAUGAUGAAAACUGGUGGCAUAGAAGUCAAGGAUACUGAAUAAUGUGUGUCUAGAACUCUGAGGUUCAAUAGAGGAGGAAAUAUAGUCUAUUGCUUUUGAAGUGAUCUUAUACUUAGGUUUUGGAAAUACAAAAGGACCUUCUUCUUGGAUUGUUUUUGUGAAUUUUGUUUCUUUAAAAUAAGUUCAUUGAUGUAAUAAUCAAUGUACACACGUAAAAAAGUAAAGAUGAGGAGUGUGAAGCAUGUCCACUCAAUGUAAAUGGUGAGACAACUGAAAUCAUUAAAAUGUAUUGAAAAUAUGAAUACCAUUAAAAAAACGGACAAGUCAAGUGUAAUCUUUGACUACGGAUGACAUAGGCAGUAUAGUGAAGUUUCUUAUUUUGCAUCAGAACAAGUGUGCUGUUGUUAAUUUUUUUUAAAAGAAAAUUGAUAAAUAUUACCACAAUUAAUAGAUACCUGAAUGACUAAGAGAAGGGUCAAAUGAAUGAAUCCGUGAAAAAUAUUGGAAAUCCUGUUAUCUUCUCUGCUUUGCACUUCCGAGAAUGGACACACCUGGGCUGGCAGAACAUCUGGCCUUGAUCUGGAGCCCCAUGUCUGCCCCUCUGUAGAGGUGCACAUGGGCCAAUGAUGGAUGAAAUGAGCAGAGCAUUUUGCUGUGAUCAAGGCUCUGUUGCCUCUGUGUUAGGCCAAUAAUGGACGCACCUGAAUUGACCUACGCAUUUGCAAGCUCCAUGGCUGUCCCGGUGUUUGGAGCGUGGAGACCGAUUUGAGUUAUAGUCACUGUUCUUGCCUUGGUUUUGGUGGCUUAUUUAGGAUACUCGCUGAAUACUUUUAAAAAAAGUAUUAAAUAUAACCAAAGAAGGCCAACUGUGGCCCAAUGAUAAAUAUGGUUUUGACAUGAAAUAUUAUGUUGAUUGAUCAAUUUUUGUAACAAUGGGAAUGAUUAAUGAAAGAGGUAUAUUCAGUGACAUACACAUAUGUCACUAAAUGAAUGAUGUGAUUUCAUAGAUAGAUAUUAGGGAUAUAAGAGUUUCUUUUCUGUGAGAUUUUGUGAUUCACAGAUAAUUAUUUUAUUAUGUUUGAUGAAUUGAGAAUUAAUUAAUUAGCAAAUAUACAGUAGUAUGAAGAAAAAGACAUGUAAACCUGAACCAAUGAUUGAUGGUUUAGGAGUCAUGGGUGAUGAAUAAUAUGUGUCUGGAACCUAAAGUUUUGCAGAAAACAAACUCUGAUCUAUUUCCUAGGGUCAUUUGCAAAUGACAAUGUUUGAAAUGAUAGAUUGAUGUUAAUAAUGUGUAAGAAUCUACUUAUUUUGGAUUCAUGGAUUUACAUAUUGUUAUUAUUUAAAAUUGAUCCAUGAUGAAAGUAUUAAACAAACAUAUAAUUCGACAAAUAUGAAGAUAGAGAGAUGGACUUCAACCAUGUGAUGAUUCAAGAUAUAAUAUCAACAUAAAACGAAACACUAGCUCCCAACAUGGUGAAACCCUGUCUCUAUUAAAAAUACAAAAAAUUAUAUGGACGUGGUGGUGCACGCCUGUAAUCCCAGCUACUCGGGAGGCUGAGACAGGAGAAUCACUUGAACUUGGCAGGUGGAGGUUGCAGUGAGCCAAGAUUGCACCAUUGCACUCCCGCCUGGGCAACAAGAGCAAAACUCUGUCUAAAAAAAAAAAAAAAAGAAAUGGACCCAAGGGUGUUACCUCUUUUUGGUUAGUGAUCACAUAGAUGCUGGGUAGUAGGAAUUUUAUUGCUUGGAGCAGUCCUUUUGAGAUUGUUUUGUUCAGAAUGAACAUAUAUGUUAUGAAAAAUUAAUAAAUACCUAAAUUACUGGGAAAGCAAAGAUCAACAAAAAGGUCUUAGUUUUUAAAAUCAGCUGCUUUGCUUUGUAUUUCUUAGAAGGGAUGCACUGGAGCUGAUUUAAGAAUUCUCUCAUAGUCACAAGAUGUAUGGUUGCCUCUGUGUAGGUUCCUGGAAACCAAUGUGAGUAUGAGUCAAUAUUCUUGUCUUGGUUUGAGUGUUUUUUAAGAGGUAUCACUGUGUUGUUAUACACUUUGGCAUAUAAUUAGUUAAUGUCUUAAGAAUGGGAUUGAUGUAAUGCAUUAUGUUGAUUAAUCUAUAUGUGAAACACUGCAUUAAAUUAAUUAAAUGUAUCUAGUGUCUAUGGGAAAUAAUUUUGUAGACAGAUAUUAGAUAUUCAAGAGUCUUGCUCUUGAGUUUUUCUGACUCUUUGGUAUUUACUUAUUCUUAUUAGUAUUUACUUAUGCUUAUUAGUGAGUUGAUGAAUUAAUCUAUCAAUAAAUGAAGACAUGAAUGAAGAAAAAGCUCCAAGUCUGGACCAAAGACGAAGUUUGGUGAUGUAGGAAUUAUGAACAAUAAAUACCUGUGUUUGGAACUUUGAGGUCCAACAUGAAAACUAGUUUACUCCCUAUGAUGUAAUUGAUCAUAUAUAUAUAUAUAUAUAUUAGAAAUAGCAAAGAUCUGAUUGUGUUUCAUAGCUAUCGAUUAUAUCUUCAUAAGUUGAUUAGUGCACAAAUAAACAAAGAAAUGUAUGAAUACACGAAGAAAAAUGGAACCAAGUAUGGACUAAGUAUGUCCUCUAUAAAGUUGCUCUUAUUUAGAAACAAAUUAUAGGAUUUUACUAGGAUUUUACUAGGGUCGGAUAGGCAUUUCUGUUCUAGAUUUCUGAAAAUGAAAAUAUUACUCAUUUUCUUGAAAAGGAAUAGAUGGUUGGAAAAAUUAAUUCAUUUGUUCCUGAAUUAUAAACUCAUUUAGACUAAUAAUGAAUGAGUUAAUAGAUAAAAAGGUCAAGAAGUGACCACUCAUGAGAAUGUGUUAUAAAGCCAGGAAUGAGAAGAAGCUGAUUCUGUAAGGCAAAACUAACUUGCAGAGAAUACCAAGACGAUUACAUGUUUGAGUGGCGGCACUGGGGCCAAUAUGUCCCAUAGUCAGAUGUUUUGCUUAAUGCAGGUGAUGGAUUCAAGAAUGUUCACUAUUGAUGUAAAAUUCAUAACUGAAAUAAUUCAGUAAAUAAAAGGAGAGUGAAUCUAAUCUAAGGAUGGGGAGUGUCGUGAACCAAUGUUUGAGAUGAACCUAACCCUGAUCAUUUCAUAUUUAUUCAGAAACAGCCUGAAUCUUUUUGUUUCUUACCUGUAACAUCUACUUUGUACUUUGCAGGGUUGAUGUUCACGGGUGAUUGAUCCUCCUGUAGCGUCGGUGGUAUUGACUGUUCCCCAGAGGACAAGGAGUGUGUUCUUGCAUAAGUCAUAGUUGACAUUCUUGUUUUUGAUUGGGUAGUUUGACUGUUCAUUGAUGUUUAUAGUACUAUAGAAGGUAGAUAAAUGGCCACAUACCUAAAGAAAAUCAAAGGAGACAAAAGGUGAGAAUCUGUUAUAAACUAAGGAUUAUAAUUAAUCUAAUUCAGUACAACUGUGGACAAUUUUGAAAAGAUAAAGAUUGAUGUCAUUUUAGUCAUUUUAUAGAUAAACUAAAAAUGGGACAUUUUUAAUAUUCCAUUUUAGCAUUUUUCAUAGUUUACACAAACAUUGCUAUAUUGCUAGAUAGCCUAGUCUGUUAACUCCCUGAGGAAGGAGCACAUGUGAAGUAAAUACUUGUCAUUAUCAUAGUAGGAUCAAGUGGAAUAUUCUUCUGGUCUAUUGUUACGUCUUCAUAGACUAUAUAAUUUAAACAAAAUGGUUCAAGCAUGGACCAAUGACAUAACCAAAAUCAAUUCUAGACAAACAUGAUUAUUAUUAUAUUUCACAACAUUUUUGUAGUUCGUUACAAAAAAAGACCUAGCCUAUUACCUUGUUUAUUACCUCUCUUGGAAAUGAACCCAAUGA
This is a long non-coding RNA of Nomascus leucogenys (northern white-cheeked gibbon), 13019 nucleotides long. RefSeq lists it as uncharacterized. NCBI's taxonomy places the organism in Eukaryota, Metazoa, Chordata, Mammalia, Primates, Hylobatidae. The transcript has 21 exons. The record is from RefSeq and is a predicted model, not a curated record.